GGAAUGUCGGCGGCCUGGAUUGCGCGUGCGCAGGCGCAGUCAGUGGGCGUCUCGAAGGCUUUCGGGGCUUCCUCGUCGCCUUCUCCCGCCGGCUGCCGCCGCCGCUCCGCCUACGUCCAGACUCCGCCCGGUUGUCCGAGUUGCGCAAUCCGUAGCCGGGGAAGCGCUACGUGGAGACCGGUCUAAGUGGAUGCCGAGCCCUGGAGCUGGGGAACUAGAGGGCGGAUCUUGACUAGGAUGCUGGACAUUCCUCAUGGGAAACCUGAGGAGGAUGCUAAAAAAUCAGCCACGGUUUACCUACUGCCUGCUGCCAAGUUUCUUGAGGGCCCUGCUGUUGGGGGGCUGUGGCUGAGUUUUUAAGCAAGAGCAAGUUACACAGCACAACACACCUCUCCUAUCCACAGAGGCUCAGAUAUGCCUUGUAUCAAUUCCUUCUGUUCCAUGGCAACAAUACCACAUACAUUUUACAUCCAGCCCUGUCCGAAUC
Long non-coding RNA from Camelus dromedarius (Arabian camel), 487 nucleotides. RefSeq lists it as uncharacterized. The transcript has 4 exons. The record is from RefSeq and is a predicted model, not a curated record. Lineage: Eukaryota; Metazoa; Chordata; Mammalia; Artiodactyla; Camelidae.